GUCAGUUUGUCCGAGUGGUUAAGGAGUGAGACUUGAAAUCUCAUGGGCUCUGCCCGCACAGGUUCAAACCCUGUAGCUGACG
This 82-nucleotide transfer RNA is filed under the name Cunninghamella echinulata. RNAcentral describes it as "tRNA-Ser". It matches the Rfam family "tRNA". From Rfam's summary of the family: Transfer RNA (tRNA) molecules are approximately 80 nucleotides in length. Their secondary structure includes four short double-helical elements and three loops (D, anti-codon, and T loops). The record is from RNAcentral. Lineage: Eukaryota; Fungi; Mucoromycota; Mucoromycetes; Mucorales; Cunninghamellaceae. RNAcentral also lists the same sequence under 1 other name.